Molecule: long non-coding RNA, 539 nt
Filed under: Equus caballus (horse)
Lineage: Eukaryota; Metazoa; Chordata; Mammalia; Perissodactyla; Equidae
Description: lncRNA (ENSECAG00000052773.1)
Source: RNAcentral
UGCCUGAGUCUGCUCACCACCCUCCCGGGGAAGGACUCGGUAUAAAGGCAGAUGUUUAUCUGCUGAGUACCUGCUAUGAGCAGAGCACAGUGCCAGGAGCUAUUGUCAAAGAGAAGCACCUUUCCAGGAGCUUCUCAUAGAGAAGAGUCUUUAACACGAUUUGUGAUCGUGGGUGGAAGAUGGACUCAGAAGUUACCCUCAGGGAGCUACUGUUUUUGAUGCUGACCCAGAAGCACUUCUUUCCGGUCUGGAGAUGGACACAACUACCAGCAAGGGAAGCUGCUCUCACACUUGACCUGCAGAGGCAGAGGAAGAAAUGCUAUGACUGGUGCCCAGGUGAAAGCUGGAGCCCUGGACGAGGGGCUGCUUGAGAGGAGCUGUGGCUGUAGAAGGAUGGGACAGCUGCCAGAAGGACUGCCCAGCAGGGCGUCACACCAGCCAUUGAGGAAUCAGGAAUCAACAAGCCAGACCUGGUCCUCAACUUUAUGGAGCUUACAGUCUAGGAUGGAAACAAAUAUGGAGCAUGCGAAUAAAGGGAG